This 497-nucleotide ribosomal RNA is filed under the name uncultured bacterium. RNAcentral's name for it is "partial 16S ribosomal RNA". It matches the Rfam family "Bacterial small subunit ribosomal RNA", at positions 28 to 507 of the family's 1533-position model. The record is from RNAcentral.
GACGAACGCUGGCGGCGUGCCUAAUACAUGCAAGUUGAGCGCUGAAGGUUGGUACUUGUACCAACUGGAUGAGCAGCGAACGGGUGAGUAACGCGUGGGGAAUCUGCCUUUGAGCGGGGGACAACAUUUGGAAACGAAUGCUAAUACCGCAUAAAAACUUUAAACACAAGUUUUAAGUUUGAAAGAUGCAAUUGCAUCACUCAAAGAUGAUCCCGCGUUGUAUUAGCUAGUUGGUGAGGUAAAGGCUCACCAAGGCGAUGAUACAUAGCCGACCUGAGAGGGUGAUCGGCCACAGUGGGACGGAGACACGGCCCAAACUCCUACGGGAGGCAGCAGGAGGGAAUCUUCGGCAAUGGACGAAAGUCUGACCGAGCAACGCCGCGUGAGUGAAGAAGGUUUUCGGAUCGUAAAACUCUGUUGGUAGAGAAGAACGUUGGGGAGAGUGGAAAGCUCAUCAAGUGACGGUAACUACCCAGAAAGGGACGGCUAACUACGUG